RNAcentral lists this ribosomal RNA (238 nucleotides) under uncultured bacterium. RNAcentral's name for it is "partial 16S ribosomal RNA". It matches the Rfam family "Bacterial small subunit ribosomal RNA", at positions 15 to 263 of the family's 1533-position model. The record is from RNAcentral.
GAUCCUGGCUCAGGAUGAACGCUGACAGAAUGCUUAACACAUGCAAGUCUACUUGAACUUCGGUUUGGGUGGCGGACGGGUGAGUAACGCGUAAAGAACUUGCCUCACAGUUAGGGACAACAUUUGGAAACGAAUGCUAAUACCUGAUAUUAUGAUUUUAGGGCAUCCUAAGAUUAUGAAAGCUAUAUGCGCUGUGAGAGAGCUUUGCGUCCCAUUAGCUAGUUGGAGAGGUAACCGG